RNAcentral lists this ribosomal RNA (464 nucleotides) under uncultured Klebsiella sp. RNAcentral's name for it is "bacterial SSU rRNA". It matches the Rfam family "Bacterial small subunit ribosomal RNA", at positions 338 to 795 of the family's 1533-position model. The record is from RNAcentral. Lineage: Bacteria; Pseudomonadati; Pseudomonadota; Gammaproteobacteria; Enterobacterales; Enterobacteriaceae.
CCUACGGGUGGCUGCAGUGGGGAAUAUUGCACAAUGGGCGCAAGCCUGAUGCAGCCAUGCCGCGUGUGUGAAGAAGGCCUUCGGGUUGUAAAGCACUUUCAGCGGGGAGGAAGGCGUUAAGGUUAAUAACCUUGUCGAUUGACGUACCCGCAGAAGAAGCACCGGCUAACUCCGUGCCAGCAGCCGCGGUAAUACGGAGGGUGCAAGCGUUAAUCGGAAUUACUGGGCGUAAAGCGCACGCAGGCGGUCUGUCAAGUCGGAUGUGAAAUCCCCGGGCUCAACCUGGGAACUGCAUUCGAAACUGGCAGGCUAGAGUCUUGUAGAGGGGGGUAGAAUUCCAGGUGUAGCGGUGAAAUGCGUAGAGAUCUGGAGGAAUACCGGUGGCGAAGGCGGCCCCCUGGACAAAGACUGACGCUCAGGUGCGAAAGCGUGGGGAGCAAACAGGAGUAGAUACCCGAGUAGUC